UACGUAGGGUGCAAGCGUUGUCCGGAAUUAUUGGGCGUAAAGAGCUCGUAGGCGGUCUGUCGCGUCUGCUGUGAAAACUCAGGGCUUAACCCUGAGCUUGCAGUGGGUACGGGCAGACUAGAGUGCGGUAGGGGAGACUGGAAUUCCUGGUGUAGCGGUGAAAUGCGCAGAUAUCAGGAGGAACACCGGUGGCGAAGGCGGGUCUCUGGGCCGUAACUGACGCUGGAGGA
Molecule: ribosomal RNA, 230 nt
Filed under: uncultured bacterium
Lineage: Bacteria
Description: partial 16S ribosomal RNA
Rfam family: Bacterial small subunit ribosomal RNA
Source: RNAcentral